This 492-nucleotide ribosomal RNA is filed under the name uncultured bacterium. RNAcentral describes it as "partial 16S ribosomal RNA". It matches the Rfam family "Bacterial small subunit ribosomal RNA", at positions 30 to 507 of the family's 1533-position model. The record is from RNAcentral.
AGUGAACGCUGGCGGGACGCCUCACACAUGCAAGUCGAACGGCAGCAGACUGAGAGCUGGCUCUUACGGGUGCCUAGUUGCGGACGGGGGAGGAAGGCAUCGCACGGUACCUGGUACUGGGGUAUAACGUGGGGUAACUUCGCCUUAGACCGCAUGCGACCAACGGGUGAACGCACUGGAACUUCGGGCCUCGCGCGUGUGAAUGGGCCGAUGUCUGAUUAGUUAGUUGGUGGGGUAAAGGCCUACCAAGUCGACGAUCCGUAACUGGUCGGAGAGGAUGACACGCCCAACUGGAAAUGAGACGAGGCCAAGACUCCCACGGGAGGCAGCCGUGGGGAAUAGUGGACAAUGGGCGCAAGCCUGAUCCAGCGAUGCCGCGUGAGCGAAGAAGGCCUUCGGGUUGUAAACCAGUUUUGGGGGGAAGGAAAAGCAGCUGGCUAACACCUCGAGGUUCUGACGGUACCAGAAGAAGAAGCACCGGCUAACUACGUG